RNAcentral lists this long non-coding RNA (622 nucleotides) under Mytilus galloprovincialis (Mediterranean mussel). The record is from RNAcentral. Lineage: Eukaryota; Metazoa; Mollusca; Bivalvia; Mytilida; Mytilidae.
CUGAAGUACAAGAAUUACACAUUUCCAUUUAACAAAUUUGCAACUUUUCUUUCUUUUAACACAUAAUACUUUUCAAAAAAAGAAAUUUUGUAUGAUGGCCAAUAAGACAACCCUCUAUCCUAAAAUCAAAUAUUGAUGAUGUUAGCAAUUAUAGGUACAUGUACAGCCUUCAACAUGACAUCUUGGUAAGUGCUUCAAAUUCUGAAUGUUUAGUGUUUCAGUGGCCUAGAACUCAGAUUUCACUAUGAUGGCGGAAAUUCUAGAAUGAAGGUUUCACUUUGACGACGGAAAACCAUUUUUAAUGAAUUAUUCAGAAAUACAACAAACUACCAUAUUUACCUUAAUAUUUACUGAAAAUGCAUUCAGCUGGAUUCACUACACGAUUACAAGCUAGGAAAAUCGGCCCAAAAUCUGACUGUCUAAUUUAUAAAUAUAUAUAUUCUACACAAUUCAUACACACUUCUAAAAAUAUCCCAAAUGAAGAAAAUACCUGAAAUUCAAUUCAACUAACUAUUGCUUUUUUCCUUUGACCAACUAGAGAGAGUAUAAAAAAGAAGAUGUGGUAUGAUUGCCAAUGAGACAACUGUCCACAAGAGACCAAAACCUAUCCAACAGUUUAGAC